Molecule: ribosomal RNA, 897 nt
Filed under: Mycothermus thermophilus
Lineage: Eukaryota; Fungi; Ascomycota; Sordariomycetes; Sordariales; Chaetomiaceae
Description: partial large subunit ribosomal RNA
Rfam family: Eukaryotic large subunit ribosomal RNA
Source: RNAcentral
GCAUAUCAAUAAGCGGAGGAAAAGAAACCAACAGGGAUUGCCCUAGUAACGGCGAGUGAAGCGGCAACAGCUCAAAUUUGAAAGCUGGCCUUCGGGUCCGCGUUGUAAUUUGCAGAGGAAGCUUUGGGCGCGGCGCUGUCUGAGUCCCCUGGAACGGGGCGCCAAAGAGGGUGAGAGCCCCGUAUAGACGGAUGCCUAGCCUGUGUAAAGCUCCUUCGACGAGUCGAGUAGUUUGGGAAUGCUGCUCAAAAUGGGAGGUAAAUUUCUUCUAAAGCUAAAUACCGGCCAGAGACCGAUAGCGCACAAGUAGAGUGAUCGAAAGAUGAAAAGCACUUUGAAAAGAGGGUUAAAUAGCACGUGAAAUUGUUGAAAGGGAAGCGCUUGUGACCAGACUUGCGCCGGGCUGAUCAUCCGGUGUUCUCACCGGUGCACUCUGCCCGGCUCAGGCCAGCAUCGGUUCUCGCGGGGGGAUAAAGGCUUAGGGAAUGUAGCUCCUCCGGGAGUGUUAUAGCCCUCUGCGUAAUACCCUCGCGGGGACCGAGGUCUGCGCUCUGCAAGGAUGCUGGCGUAAUGGUCAUCAGCGACCCGUCUUGAAACACGGACCAAGGAGUCAAGGUUUUGCGCGAGUGUUUGGGUGUCAAACCCGCACGCGUAAUGAAAGUGAACGUAGGUGAGAGCUUCGGCGCAUCAUCGACCGAUCCUGAUGUACUCGGAUGGAUUUGAGUAAGAGCGUUAAGCCUUGGACCCGAAAGAUGGUGAACUAUGCUUGGAUAGGGUGAAGCCAGAGGAAACUCUGGUGGAGGCUCGCAGCGGUUCUGACGUGCAAAUCGAUCGUCAAAUCUGAGCAUGGGGGGCGAAAGACUAAUCGAACCAUCUAGUAGCUGGUUACUCGCCGAG